Molecule: long non-coding RNA, 642 nt
Organism: Amphiprion ocellaris (clown anemonefish)
Lineage: Eukaryota; Metazoa; Chordata; Actinopteri; Pomacentridae
Exons: 2
Source: RefSeq, a predicted model, not a curated record
GAGACACAGAGAGGAGAGGAGAGGAGUAGCAGAAGCUAAGCCACGAAGAAAUAAAAUAGCAGGAAAGUAGAAAUAAACCAGCUAAAUUAGCUGACGAAUUCAGUAUGAAAGAUGAUGGAAACCUACCGGUUCGGUUUACUUUUUGACGGUGUGUUGCUCCGGUGGUAAACGAGUCGGGUGGUGUUUUCAUCUAUUGAUGCUCCGACUGGUUUUUUGACUGGAUUAGAUACUUGGAUUAAGUUUCUGCUGAACGCGAUGGCGAGCCAGACCCAGCGAGAACUUCUGGAGAGGAACGUUUGAGGCAGUGUGGCCAGCUGUUUCAACCGUCGUUGGAAGAAUCAACUGUGUUGUUUCCAAGGAUUUCCAGAUAAGGAACAAUCAGAACUACACACAUUUAUCCUACCCGGGUAGAGUAGAGGUAAAGAGAGAAAACUUUAAUGAACAAGUGACACAAGGAGGGACACAAACCAAGGAGACCCCCAAGAGAGACAUUCAGGACAUUUUCUGUUUUAUUUUACUGUUUAUUUUCUUAUGCAAAGAGACUCUAUUUUGUGUUUUUGGGGUUUUCUAACUUUUUUAUAUUGUACUGUAACACAAUUGUUUAUUGUGUUAAAUUGCAAUAAAUCUGCCGGCUGUUAUAAA